AGACAACAUACAGCAUCAAUAUCCCGGUCAUUCAAUCCAUAAUCAAUAAAACAUUAAAAUAUGUACACGAAACUAUAAAAUGAAAACAUCGAACCUCAUGCUGCAUUUAAAACUGUAAAACAGGUCAAAUAACAGUUAACCGACAAACACACUAGACUCGGGCUCCAUUAGCGACCUUAAGCAAUUUCACACAUUCGUUGAUUCAUGAAAUACCGUUUUAUCAUUUAUUGGACUUUAAAACCGUGAUAGGAAAUAGGGUGAGGGGUCCUUACUCGUUUCGGGGUCCGAACACGGCUUCACAGUGCGCUUGUAGGCUGUCCCUAAUUUUCCCUGAAUUUUUC
RNAcentral lists this long non-coding RNA (341 nucleotides) under Carica papaya (papaya). Its description in RNAcentral is "long non-coding RNA (CPAP_LNC011981)". The record is from RNAcentral. Lineage: Eukaryota; Viridiplantae; Streptophyta; Magnoliopsida; Brassicales; Caricaceae.